Molecule: ribosomal RNA, 1244 nt
Filed under: Staphylococcus aureus
Lineage: Bacteria; Bacillati; Bacillota; Bacilli; Caryophanales; Staphylococcaceae
Description: partial 23S ribosomal RNA
Rfam family: Bacterial large subunit ribosomal RNA
Source: RNAcentral
GAUUAAGUUAUUAAGGGCGCACGGUGGAUGCCUUGGCACUAGAAGCCGAUGAAGGACGUUACUAACGACGAUAUGCUUUGGGGAGCUGUAAGUAAGCUUUGAUCCAGAGAUUUCCGAAUGGGGAAACCCAGCAUGAGUUAUGUCAUGUUAUCGAUAUGUGAAUACAUAGCAUAUCAGAAGGCACACCCGGAGAACUGAAACAUCUUAGUACCCGGAGGAAGAGAAAGAAAAUUCGAUUCCCUUAGUAGCGGCGAGCGAAACGGGAAGAGCCCAAACCAACAAGCUUGCUUGUUGGGGUUGUAGGACACUCUAUACGGAGUUACAAAGGACGACAUUAGACGAAUCAUCUGGAAAGAUGAAUCAAAGAAGGUAAUAAUCCUGUAGUCGAAAAUGUUGUCUCUCUUGAGUGGAUCCUGAGUACGACGGAGCACGUGAAAUUCCGUCGGAAUCUGGGAGGACCAUCUCCUAAGGCUAAAUACUCUCUAGUGACCGAUAGUGAACCAGUACCGUGAGGGAAAGGUGAAAAGCACCCCGGAAGGGGAGUGAAAUAGAACCUGAAACCGUGUGCUUACAAGUAGUCAGAGCCCGUUAAUGGGUGAUGGCGUGCCUUUUGUAGAAUGAACCGGCGAGUUACGAUUUGAUGCAAGGUUAAGCAGUAAAUGUGGAGCCGUAGCGAAAGCGAGUCUGAAUAGGGCGUUUAGUAUUUGGUCGUAGACCCGAAACCAGGUGAUCUACCCUUGGUCAGGUUGAAGUUCAGGUAACACUGAAUGGAGGACCGAACCGACUUACGUUGAAAAGUGAGCGGAUGAACUGAGGGUAGCGGAGAAAUUCCAAUCGAACCUGGAGAUAGCUGGUUCUCUCCGAAAUAGCUUUAGGGCUAGCCUCAAGUGAUGAUUAUUGGAGGUAGAGCACUGUUUGGACGAGGGGCCCCUCUCGGGUUACCGAAUUCAGACAAACUCCGAAUGCCAAUUAAUUUAACUUGGGAGUCAGAACAUGGGUGAUAAGGUCCGUGUUCGAAAGGGAAACAGCCCAGACCACCAGCUAAGGUCCCAAAAUAUAUGUUAAGUGGAAAAGGAUGUGGCGUUGCCCAGACAACUAGGAUGUUGGCUUAGAAGCAGCCAUCAUUUAAAGAGUGCGUAAUAGCUCACUAGUCGAGUGACACUGCGCCGAAAAUGUACCGGGGCUAAACAUAUUACCGAAGCUGUGGAUUGUCCUUUGGACAAUGGUAGGAGAGCGUUCUAAGG